Molecule: transfer RNA, 73 nt
Filed under: Piptocephalis tieghemiana
Lineage: Eukaryota; Fungi; Zoopagomycota; Zoopagomycetes; Zoopagales; Piptocephalidaceae
Description: tRNA-Lys
Rfam family: tRNA
About the family: Transfer RNA (tRNA) molecules are approximately 80 nucleotides in length.
Source: RNAcentral
GCCCUGUUAGCUCAAUUGGUAGAGCGUGGGACUUUUAAUCCCAAGGCUGCGGGUUCGAGCCCCGCAUGGGGCG